GACUAAGACCUAUGAUUACUUCAAAUGAAGUGCCCCAAACUUUUCAACAAAUUCAAAAUUUUUAAGUUCUUUGGAAGACAUAAAGACAAAUCCCUCGCAAUUCAAAUAAAUUUUCAAUUUAUUUUCUUUUUCGGCUUGAUUAGAUAUAUGCAACCCCACAGAUCCGUGGUUGCAUUUCUUGGAAAUGAAUUGAGGUCCCACCUUCUUAGAAUUAUACAUAGAGUACUAUAGAGAUCUUUGUAGAUAAAUAAUCCCCCGAGCGGCCACUAUUGACUCUACUAUUUACAGAGGAGAUCAAGGUGACAGAGGGAAGGAAAACAAAAAAUUAGACAGCUAUCACAUUGUAUUCUCCUAGUUAACUAUAAUACAUAAAGUCACACAAACUCGACAAUUUUUUUGGUAGAUUUAAUUCUUAAGAUAGCAGGCCAUCAGCUGAAUGUAUUGUUUUAUCGAAAUUGUUGAUGCACAUGAUUAGCUAAGCAUAUAGAUUGCGAGUCGCAGCUAGUUUCACAUUCAAUGAUGAGUUAAAAAUCCACUCGAUGCUUAUGGCCAUGGGCAC
This 559-nucleotide long non-coding RNA is filed under the name Eucalyptus grandis. Its description in RNAcentral is "long non-coding RNA (EGRA_LNC001883)". Lineage: Eukaryota; Viridiplantae; Streptophyta; Magnoliopsida; Myrtales; Myrtaceae. The record is from RNAcentral.